This 62-nucleotide ribosomal RNA is filed under the name Succinea caduca. Its description in RNAcentral is "partial 16S small subunit ribosomal RNA". The record is from RNAcentral. Lineage: Eukaryota; Metazoa; Mollusca; Gastropoda; Stylommatophora; Succineidae.
UGGUCCUUGUGAUUUAGUUACUUUUCAUAAUUUUCAUUAUUUAUGAUAAUUAUUUGAAAAUU